This 63-nucleotide transfer RNA is filed under the name Proisotoma minuta. RNAcentral's name for it is "tRNA-Phe". Lineage: Eukaryota; Metazoa; Arthropoda; Collembola; Entomobryomorpha; Isotomidae. The record is from RNAcentral.
AUUUAAGUGGCUUAAAUUAAAGUGUCACGUUGAAGUUGUGAAGAUGGGGUUUCCCUUUAAAUA